CUGAACUCUGAUGUCUUCUGAAACUCUGAUUUCUCCUUAGGAGUUCCCAUUAAAAAAUUUUUUCAGGGUCAUGUAGAAAGAAAGCAUGCAGAAAUCUCAUCAACAGAUCUGAGAGGUCGGCUCUACAAUCAGUAACAGAGACAAAGAGCAGAUUUUUUAGGGCAGUCCUGAUUUUUCUUGAUUAUAUUAAUUUCAGAAAAUGUGAAUCACUGAAUGUAUAGAUGUAAAUUAAAUGUUCUACCAUUAGAAGGCUUUUCAUAUAAAUUCAUAAUCAGAAGAAUUUUUUCGUGUCACACUAUGCACUAAGAAUUUUAGAAAAUAAGGACAUUGUGACAUUUCGGUGUAUGUGAUGAUGCAAUUGUCAGACCAUGACAACUGUGCAUGAAUAGAAGGAGGAUGCAAAGCCAGCCUGCCUUGUCUCGUGCUGUCUCUCCUCUCCAGUGGCUGUGCUUCCUCCUCUUCCCUUUGGCCACCUCUGAGCACAUUAAGCUUGCAGGAUUGUGAUGGGAUUUAAAGGCAUUUCAGCUACUCAUGUGCACAGCGCUCUUCUCCUCAUUCUACCUGGAGAACAACACUAAGAAGGUACAGUCAGUGAGAGCUUUCAGAGGAGAACAAGUCUGGAUGAGAAUCCUCUCGAACUGGGCAUCAGAAUAGGUUUCUCCUCCUCACUCAUCUCUCUGUGACACACAGCCCUCGAAAGGCAUGCCAUCCCACAGACAUUUUUCCUGGAAAAAGAGACAGAACGUAAUCAGGAAAUGUGAAAAUAAAAGAAGAAACGAUGGGUUAGAGAAGAUCCAGGCUAUUCUCACGGAGCAAAUAUCUGGGGGCAAAGAGUCCUUUCAGCCACAAGUCUUAAUAGUUUGUGUGAGUGUUAAUCUGCUUCUCAUAGAGUCACCAUGAAACACACCUUAGACAGAAUAAUACAAAGCUUUAACGAAGACCGCAGAAGAACUUCAUAUCUGAGUACCAUUUGCAAUCGAUUUACAAAUAAUGCCAGCAUCCUUAGCGACUUCUUCAGGCAAGGUUAUACUGGGGGUUUUUGAGGCUAAGCAGGUGAACUGGGAGUACCGCACACAGCAUGGCUUCCAGCCUGAAGUGACUGUAAAAUGCCAGUGAAUAGAGAGGCUCAAGGCUGAGUAAAGGAUCCUGCACACUCAACAGGCUCAUCCUUCUCUGCACCCGAGUUGUUCAUAGAGUCCCAGUUACAGAGCUUUCAGAAGGCGGAAUUCGUCCACAGCACACUAUUGAUGCCUAUCGAAUCUAAGGAAAUUAACUAAGAAGGGAAGAAAUAAUCUUCAUAGAAAAGGGAUUUGAGAACCCAGAAGAGGGUAUGGGCCUGGCAGUGUGCAUGCUGCAAACUAUGCACCAUCACUGGCCUAAAACGCACCUCUGUGUGCAUCAUUUACUCACGUUUAAAAAUCACCCUCUACUUGUUCUCCUGUGACCCUCAUUGGACUAUAUCCAGACAGCACUGAAAGUGAUAGCCAGAAAAAGUAGAAACAACCCAUGUGUUCAUCCACUGACGAAUGGAUCAAAACAUGUGGCGUGUCCAUCCAUACAAGGGGAUAUUACCCAGCAGUCAAAAGGAGCAAAGAACUGAUGUAUACCACACCAUGGCUGAUUCUCAACAGUAUGUUCAGUGAAAGAAACCAGUCACAAAAGCACAUGUACUGUAUGUCUAUUUAUAUGAACUGCUUGGAGGAGGCACCUAGUGGUUGCCAGGGGCUUGGGGUGGGGGUGGAGGGCAGGAAUGGGGAAUGCCUGCCCCCUCCAUGGGGUUUCUUUGUGGG
This 1790-nucleotide long non-coding RNA is filed under the name Homo sapiens (human). Its description in RNAcentral is "HSALNT0400024". The record is from RNAcentral. Lineage: Eukaryota; Metazoa; Chordata; Mammalia; Primates; Hominidae.